GGAUUGAACGCUGGCGGCAGGCCUAACACAUGCAAGUCGAGCGGCAGCACGGGUACUUGUACCUGGUGGCGAGCGGCGGACGGGUGAGUAAUGCCUAGGAAUCUGCCUGGUAGUGGGGGAUAACGCUCGGAAACGGACGCUAAUACCGCAUACGUCCUACGGGAGAAAGCAGGGGACCUUCGGGCCUUGCGCUAUCAGAUGAGCCUAGGUCGGAUUAGCUAGUUGGUGAGGUAAUGGCUCACCAAGGCGACGAUCCGUAACUGGUCUGAGAGGAUGAUCAGUCACACUGGAACUGAGACACGGUCCAGACUCCUACGGGAGGCAGCAGUGGGGAAUAGUACGGACAAGUGGGACGAAAGCCUGAUCCAGCCAUGCCGCGUGUGUGAAGAAGGUCUUCGGAUUAGUAAAGCUAUUUUAAGGUUGGAGGAAGGCAGUUAACCUAAUACGUAUCUUGUUUAGACGUUACCGACAAGAAUAAACGCACCGGACUAAC
RNAcentral lists this ribosomal RNA (493 nucleotides) under uncultured soil bacterium. RNAcentral describes it as "bacterial SSU rRNA". It matches the Rfam family "Bacterial small subunit ribosomal RNA", at positions 27 to 501 of the family's 1533-position model. The record is from RNAcentral.